RNAcentral lists this unclassified non-coding RNA (227 nucleotides) under Hevea brasiliensis (rubber tree). The record is from RNAcentral. Lineage: Eukaryota; Viridiplantae; Streptophyta; Magnoliopsida; Malpighiales; Euphorbiaceae.
AAUAAUUCGGUUCGGUUUGAUUCAAUUGAUUUUCUUCUCCAAAACCAAAUCGAACUGAGAUAACUGAAAUUCUUAAAAUACAAAAUCGAACUGAACCGAACCGAAUCAAAUUGAAUUAUCUUAAAAAUGGAACUGAAUUACCGAAUUAAAGUGGUUCAGUUCGGUUUAUUCAUUUCAAACCGAAUAGUGCUAAUCCCUACCUUCCAGUUUCUGCUUCUCCUCUUCAG